RNAcentral lists this ribosomal RNA (433 nucleotides) under uncultured bacterium. Its description in RNAcentral is "partial 16S ribosomal RNA". It matches the Rfam family "Bacterial small subunit ribosomal RNA", at positions 29 to 507 of the family's 1533-position model. The record is from RNAcentral.
AACGAACGCUGGCGGCAUGCCUAACACAUGCAAGUCGAACGAGACCUUCGGGUCUAGUGGCGCACGGGUGCGUAACGCGUGGGAACCUGCCCUUAGGUUCGGAAUAACUCCCCGAAAGGGGUGCUAAUACCGGAUAAUGUCUUCGGACCAAAGAUUUAUCGCCUUUGGAUGGGCCCGCGUUGGAUUAGCUAGUUGGUAGGGUAAAAGCCUACCAAGGCGACGCUCCAUAGCUGGUCUGAGAGGAUGAUCAGCCACACUGGGACUGAGACACGGCCCAGACUCCUACGGGAGGCAGCAGUGUGGAAUAUUGGACAAUGGGCGAAAGCCUGAUCCAGCAAUGCCGCGUGAGUGAUGAAGGCCUUAGGGUUGUAAAGCUCUUUUACCCGGGAUGAUAAUGACAGUACCGGGAGAAUAAGCUCCGGCUAACUCCGUG